AACGAACGCUGGCGGCAUGCCUAACACAUGCAAGUCGAACGAGACCUUCGGGUCUAGUGGCGCACGGGUGCGUAACGCGUGGGAACCUGCCCUUAGGUUCGGAAUAACUCCCCGAAAGGGGUGCUAAUACCGGAUAAUGUCUUCGGACCAAAGAUUUAUCGCCUUUGGAUGGGCCCGCGUUGGAUUAGCUAGUUGGUAGGGUAAAAGCCUACCAAGGCGACGAUCCAUAGCUGGUCUGAGAGGAUGAUCAACCACACUGGGACUGAGACACGGCCCAGACUCCGACGGGAGGCAGCAGUGGGGAAUAUUGGACAAUGGGCGAAAGCCUGAUCCAGCAAUGCCGCGUGAGUGAUGAAGGCCUUAGGGUUGUAAAGCUCUUUUACCCGGGAUGAUAAUGACAGUACCGGGAGAAUAAGCUCGGGCUAACUCCGUG
RNAcentral lists this ribosomal RNA (433 nucleotides) under uncultured bacterium. Its description in RNAcentral is "partial 16S ribosomal RNA". It matches the Rfam family "Bacterial small subunit ribosomal RNA", at positions 29 to 507 of the family's 1533-position model. The record is from RNAcentral.